Salvia miltiorrhiza (redroot sage) is the source of this 962-nucleotide long non-coding RNA. RefSeq lists it as uncharacterized. The transcript is spliced from 3 exons. NCBI's taxonomy places the organism in Eukaryota, Viridiplantae, Streptophyta, Magnoliopsida, Lamiales, Lamiaceae. The record is from RefSeq and is a predicted model, not a curated record.
UAUCAUUUCUCCUAUUUCACUCUUUCUAUUGACAGCAAUCAAACCCACAAAUAAACUAAGAGAAACUAAUCUAUCUCACUGAAACUCUCGACCAAGCACUCCAUUGGAGAAGGAAGACCUCUUCUUUAAGCUUUUCCAAAGGGAGAAACAAGCUCAUCUCUUCUAGCCUCAGUCCAACAAGAGCAGCCCUCCCCUCACAUCAUUGUACUCGCAACUUAAAUCGUGCCACAAUAUCUAACUCGGCUCAUAUCACGUGGAGACGACGACGACAUUCCACACUUCCAACUUGUUGAUCCACCGCCCAUAAAAGUCUUCAAAUGGCGCAUGAGAUCUUUCUCAAGGAUUCCCAAUUGGAGAUCAAACUUCUUUCUCGAUUGUUGAGGGGUGGUACUUUGGCCUUUAAUUUAUGAGAAUCUAGGAGCAGAAGGGCUGAAGCUUCCUUAGGCUAUGUCACUGCUGUUCACUCGAGUACAAAGGAGUUUCAGGCGAAGGUGGCGGCGCGCUGGUGAUGGCGACAUCGUUGCCUAAAAUCAAAGAAGGUGGAGUCAGAGAAAAAUUUGGGAAUUUAAGGUUUGAGAGAGAGACGACGGAGGUGAAUUCGAGAGAGAGAUGGGUGGGGCGAAGGCCGUGGCUGUGGCGUCACCUGUCGCGGCAGGGGGAGGGGAAGGAGGCGGUGGCGGCGUGAAAAAGGGGGCGACGCCCUGUUGGUGCGUGCUUGUGUGUGUGUGACUGUGAAAUAUUUGAACCGACGAGAUAAUGGGAGGAGUAAAUAUCGGAACUUCUCGAUUUACCUCUCUGGUUAAUUCCCCAAAAAGACCUUCCGCAUGCUGAGUUGGUGAAAACAUUAAUUAGACGCGCUUUGUUCUUUUUUUUUCGAAUUUUGAAUGCCGUCGGAUCUAGUAUAUCUAAAGGUUGAGAUUAAUUCUUUAUUCUUUACUAGAGGGCUAUUCUUCAUAGAUCCA